AGUGAACGCUGGCGGCAGGCCUAACACAUGCAAGUCGAACGGCAGCACGGCAGUAGCAAUACUGUGGGUGGCGAGUGGCGGACGGGUGAGGAAUACAUCGGGAUCUACCCUGUUGUGGGGGAUAACGUAGGGAAACUUACGCUAAUACCGCAUAAGAACUGAGGUUGAAAGCGGCGGACCGCAAGGCGUCGCGCGAUUGGAUGAACCGAUGUCCGAUUAGCUAGUUGGCGGGGUAAAGGCCCACCAAGGCGACGAUCGGUAGCUGGUCUGAGAGGACGACCAGCCACACUGGAACUGAGACACGGUCCAGACUCCUACGGGAGGCAGCAGUGGGGAAUAUUGGACAAUGGGCGCAAGCCUGAUCCAGCCAUGCCGCGUGGGUGAAGAAGG
RNAcentral lists this ribosomal RNA (390 nucleotides) under uncultured bacterium. Its description in RNAcentral is "bacterial SSU rRNA". It matches the Rfam family "Bacterial small subunit ribosomal RNA", at positions 30 to 414 of the family's 1533-position model. The record is from RNAcentral.